CCUACGGGGGGCAGCAGUAGGGAAUCUUCCGCAAUGGACGAAAGUCUGACGGAGCAACGCCGCGUGAGCGAAGAAGGUCUUCGGAUCGUAAAGCUCUGUUGUUAGGGAAGAACAAGUACGGGAGGAAAUGACCGUACCUUGACGGUACCUAACGAGGAAGCCACGGCUAACUACGUGCCAGCAGCCGCGGUAAUACGUAGGUGGCAAGCGUAGGGCGGAAUUAUUGGUCGUAAAGCGCGCGCAGGCGGUCUUUUAAUUCUGAUGUGAAAUCUUGCGGCUCAACCGCAAGCGGUCAUUGGAAACUGGGAGACUUGAGUGCAGAAGCGGAUAGCUGAAUUGCUUGUGUGGCGGUGAAAUGCGUAGAGAUGUGGAGGAACACCAGUGGAGAAGGCGGCUUUCUGGUCUGUAACGGACGCGGAGGCGCGAAGGCGUGGAGAGCAGACAGGAUUAGAUACCCUUGUAGUC
This 465-nucleotide ribosomal RNA is filed under the name uncultured bacterium. RNAcentral describes it as "bacterial SSU rRNA". It matches the Rfam family "Bacterial small subunit ribosomal RNA", at positions 338 to 795 of the family's 1533-position model. The record is from RNAcentral.